Molecule: ribosomal RNA, 254 nt
Filed under: uncultured bacterium
Lineage: Bacteria
Description: partial 16S ribosomal RNA
Rfam family: Bacterial small subunit ribosomal RNA
Source: RNAcentral
GACGAACCGUGCGAACGUUAUUCGGAAUCACUGGGCUUAAAGCGCGCGUAGGCGGCGUCGUAAGUCAGGGGUGAAAUCCCAACGGCUCAACCGUGGAAUUGCCUUUGAUACUGCGAUGCUCGAGGGAGGUAGGGGCAAGUGGAACUUCCAGUGGAGCGGUGAAAUGUGUUGAGAUUGGAAGGAACGCCGGCGGCGAAAGCGACUUGCUGGAUCUCUUCUGACGCUGAGGCGCGAAAGCUAGGGUAGCGAACGGG